RNAcentral lists this ribosomal RNA (440 nucleotides) under uncultured bacterium. Its description in RNAcentral is "partial 16S ribosomal RNA". It matches the Rfam family "Bacterial small subunit ribosomal RNA", at positions 338 to 795 of the family's 1533-position model. The record is from RNAcentral.
CCUACGGGUGGCAGCAGUGGGGAAUAUUGCACAAUGGGGGAAACCCUGAUGCAGCGACGCCGCGUUAGUGAAGAAGUAUUUCGGUAUGUAAAGCUCUAUCAUCAGGGAAGAUAAUGACGUUACUUGAUUAAGAAGCCCCGGCUAACUACGUGCCAGCAGCCGCGGUAAUACGUAGGGGGCAAGCGUUAACCGGAUUUACUGGGUGUAAAGGGAGCGUCGACGGGAGUACAAGUCUGAAGUGAAAAGCCAGGGCUUAACCCCUGUUAUGCUUUGGAAACUGUGCAGCUAGAGUGCAGGAGAGGUAAGUGGAAUUCCUAGUGUAGCGGUGAAAUGCGUAGAUAUUAGGAGGAACACCAGUGGCGAAGGCGGCUUACUGGACUGUAACUGACGUUGAGGCUCGAAAGCGUGGGGAGCAAACAGGAUUAGAUACCCGGGUAGUC